Molecule: non-coding RNA, 174 nt
Filed under: Desulfosporosinus meridiei
Lineage: Bacteria; Bacillati; Bacillota; Clostridia; Eubacteriales; Desulfitobacteriaceae
Source: RNAcentral
AGAAUACAUUAUUGAAUAGGUGCCCGCAAGGGAUAAUAGGGAACCAGGUUAAUAAUCCUGGACGGACCCACCACUGUAAGUAGAUGUUGAAAAUGUACAUUUGCCACUGGGUAACUGGGAAGGCGUACAUUCUAGUCUAUAAGUCAGGAAACCUGCCUAUGAAAUAUUGCAAAA